GGUAGAAUGGCUGAAUGUUUAAGCGGUGGAUUGUAGUCCCAUGCAUAGAGGUUAGACUCCUCUUUCUAUCA
This 71-nucleotide transfer RNA is filed under the name Cynoglossus nanhaiensis. RNAcentral describes it as "tRNA-Tyr". It matches the Rfam family "tRNA". From Rfam's summary of the family: Transfer RNA (tRNA) molecules are approximately 80 nucleotides in length. Their secondary structure includes four short double-helical elements and three loops (D, anti-codon, and T loops). Lineage: Eukaryota; Metazoa; Chordata; Actinopteri; Pleuronectiformes; Cynoglossidae. The record is from RNAcentral.